GAACUGCUGACGAGACCCAACCAGGUCCAAACAGCUGUCCAGUGC
Non-coding RNA from Echinostoma caproni, 45 nucleotides. NCBI's taxonomy places the organism in Eukaryota, Metazoa, Platyhelminthes, Trematoda, Plagiorchiida, Echinostomatidae. The record is from Rfam.